GCACAGUGGUGCAGUAGGUAGCACUGCCACUCACAGAUGGUAGGUUGCAGGUUGGAUUCCAGCCUGAUGCU
Molecule: non-coding RNA, 71 nt
Organism: Gymnothorax javanicus (giant moray)
Lineage: Eukaryota; Metazoa; Chordata; Actinopteri; Anguilliformes; Muraenidae
Source: the annotation of a GenBank genome assembly